GACCCGCUUCUUCUCCAUCCUCCUCCUUCAUCCUUUCUGUCCUCUUUCUCUUUUUGGUUGACCGGCGCUUCCUUUCAUCACUCCUCUUCUCUCCCACCCCACUACUUCCCUUCAUUCUUGCAGUGCCUGGAGUCUCGUCUGCC
RNAcentral lists this non-coding RNA (143 nucleotides) under Chromera velia. The record is from RNAcentral. Lineage: Eukaryota; Chromeraceae.